CAUCCGGAAAUGGUAGCAAGUUCCUCGGUAUUUAUCGUGGAUGCGCGGGCUUCGCGUGGCAGAGCCUGGGUCCCUCGCACGGCCGGUUUGCUUUCCACCGCAAGAAUAGCGUACCAGUGGGACGUUGGCGCGACCCUCUGUCUCGCACAAGUGGUCGCUAGUGUACCGAAGCAUAGCGCUCGGGGCCGGGCCUGCGGCACGGCAGCAGCAAGGCUUAUGGCGAUGCAGGCGGGCGCUCACCCGGCGUGCCUGGCGGGCGCCGGGCGCAGCGGCCUCUUCUCGCGCGGCAGCGUCGGCAGGACGACCCCUCCUGGCCGAGGCGGUGCCACCAGUGUUCGCGCCGUUGACGGAGCUUCCGCUGCGGCCGCUGUCGCCGCGGCUGCCGAUGCCCCGCUCCCGCCCGCGCAGGUCACCUGGCAGAUUGUCGUCGGUGCCGUAGCUGGAGUGACGCCUUUCGUCGUCGCAGGGGUCGAGUUCGGCAAAAGAAUCAUCGCGCAAAAGAAAUGUGAAGUCUGUGGAGGCUCUGGCCUUGUAGCGAAGAACGAUUAUUACGUCCGAUGCCAAGGGUGUGGUGCCACAUGAAUAUCUUAAUUUUUAAGGAGAACUUCACUUUCUAUAGAACAAUAUUCCUCUCUAUAUUCCAAUUGUUGCUUAGAGCUCGAUGAACCGAAAAUUGGACAUUCUAAUGUGGUUUUCUUCCAUGGCAGUCUUGGAGAAGAUUUUUCACAGGCUAAAAGUGGUAUCUAGCACCAUACACUGUAAGUGAAGAUGGACGAGGAUGGAGAAAAACCUGUAAGAUGUGAAAUGAUCAGCAUUAUGUACGAGUGCCCGUUUCACUCAACCAAAACUUAAUGUAUACCGUAGAGUUGCUCGUGCAUAUUGCCAUAUUGUCGAUUUACAGAUAGCCAA
Molecule: RNA transcript, 909 nt
Organism: Phragmites australis (common reed)
Lineage: Eukaryota; Viridiplantae; Streptophyta; Magnoliopsida; Poales; Poaceae
Exons: 5
Source: RefSeq, a predicted model, not a curated record